Mercurialis annua (annual mercury) is the source of this 1154-nucleotide RNA transcript. RefSeq lists it as uncharacterized. Lineage: Eukaryota; Viridiplantae; Streptophyta; Magnoliopsida; Malpighiales; Euphorbiaceae. The transcript is spliced from 5 exons. The record is from RefSeq and is a predicted model, not a curated record.
AUAAAUCCCAAAAUUGGCGUUACAAAAAUGAAUCAGAAUCACAAAGAAUUGGAAUCUACACCGAGAAUCACAAGAAAAAGAACACUCAACAGUGACAAUAUUAAUGUCACUUCUAAUAGAAUUAGAAAGCCACUCUCAGAUUGCAUAAACAUUAUUAAUUCCACAAACCCAUCUCAAUCUUCAUCCACUUCAACUAAGAAUUCAACUUCGAUUGCCAAACCUACUCAAAUUCUGAGUAAAAACAAAGUAAAAUCCCAAAACGAGAAUAAUUUACCAAACCCUAGUGUCGUUUUGGUGGAUUCGGUAUCUACGCCUUCUCGGACUCCGAAACCGGCUUCUGAUAAGGGUGCUGAUAAUGCUAAUCGUGAGGUUCUCGAGCCGCGAUCAGUUUACGGUAGAAGACAGUCUGCAGAUAAGAGGAAGGGCAAGCAGAAGGCAAUUGCUGAGCCUAUGAGUUGCUUUCCCGCUUUAAAAACUCAAGUUACUAGGGAUGAAGUUAAUGAAUACAGGCUUCCCAGUUUAUCCAAAUCUUGUGUGCUACCUAACAAAAAGAAGCAACGUCGAGUAUCCUCUAAGGAAGAUGAUGCCAAGUAUUCUUUGCCCCAGGACUUUAUCGAGCAACAAAGAGCUUACUUUGCAGAAAUUGAUGCGUUUGAACUCUCAGAGGAGGAAGUUGCUUCAAUUGAUGAGUUGGACUGAGCAAACGUGAAAUGGAGUGUAUAAUUCAGGAUGGUCUGAAGAAGGCAAUCUAACCUUGAAGUUUUCCCUGUAAAGUUCAGAGUAAUUUUCCAAUAUACUCGGGUUAUAACCAGCUAACCACCACAUAUAAUAUAAAUAUCCGUUAUGUUGUAGUCGAAUGUACAUGAAGAAAUGAUAAAUUGUUUCGUCUUGUAGGAAAGUAAGAAAAUGGAUUACUAGCAUAUUGUACAUUGAGAGAAUCAGAAGACCUGUCGUUGUCAAGUUCUUGGUCUGAAUGAAGCCGGCCUUUUUUGUUCAGCAUGUUCUUAUAGUAGAGACUAUUAGAAGGCGUUGGAGUUUGACGAUCGAGUGCGAAUCUGCCAUAUGUCCAGGUAUGUGAUCAAUUUAGUAGCUCAAAUUAUAGGGAUAAUGUGGUUUAUAAUAUUGGCUUGAGAAAUGGAAUAUGAAUUUUAUUC